RNAcentral lists this ribosomal RNA (253 nucleotides) under uncultured bacterium. Its description in RNAcentral is "partial 16S ribosomal RNA". It matches the Rfam family "Bacterial small subunit ribosomal RNA", at positions 524 to 776 of the family's 1533-position model. The record is from RNAcentral.
UACGGAGGGGGCUAGCGUUGUUCGGAAUUACUGGGCGUAAAGCGCACGUAGGCGGUUUGUCACGUCAGAUGUGAAAGCCCCGGGCUCAACCCGGGAAAUGCAUUUGAUACGGGCAGACUAGAGUGUGGAAGAGGUUAGUGGAAUUCCCAGUGGAGAGGUGAAAUUCGUAGAGAUUGGGAAGAACACCCGUGGCGAAGGCGGCUAACUGGUCCACAACUGACGCUGAGGUGCGAAAGCGUGGGGAGCGAACAGG